GCACCGAUAGUCAAGUGGUCACGACACCGCUUUCCCAAAUAGGCUACUUUUCUCUUCACGAGGGAACCUGUGUUCAAGCGGCAGCCCGGGUUCGAACCCCGGUCGGUGCA
Molecule: transfer RNA, 110 nt
Filed under: Penicillium digitatum
Lineage: Eukaryota; Fungi; Ascomycota; Eurotiomycetes; Eurotiales; Aspergillaceae
Also listed under: 1 other name
Description: tRNA-Gly
Rfam family: tRNA
About the family: Transfer RNA (tRNA) molecules are approximately 80 nucleotides in length.
Source: RNAcentral